AAGUCGUAACAAGGUUUCCGUAGGUGAACCUGCGGAAAGAUCAUUAACACGUAUCCAAACGUCAAAACCCCCCCCGUGAACCUUCAUCCUGCUCUUGUAACCCGCGUAGUUCGCAAUCUCUGAUAAAUCAUAGCCCGGAAAGUUGUCCCCUAAUAACCCCACAGUUUCAUGUGAAGCUCAAUGUAAUACAUUGGGUAAAAAAACCGAACAACUGUUAACAAUGGAUAUCUUGGUUCUC
Molecule: unclassified non-coding RNA, 238 nt
Filed under: fungal sp.
Lineage: Eukaryota; Fungi
Description: partial internal transcribed spacer region
Rfam family: Eukaryotic small subunit ribosomal RNA (bases 1-46)
Source: RNAcentral